Bradysia coprophila is the source of this 855-nucleotide long non-coding RNA. NCBI's taxonomy places the organism in Eukaryota, Metazoa, Arthropoda, Insecta, Diptera, Sciaridae. The record is from RefSeq and is a predicted model, not a curated record.
AAUCGGUAUAAUAAGCCACACUUUAGCUAGAACUAUUAGUAUAUCGUCUUAAACAAAGUUAAAAUGAAUGUGUUAGCAGUUACGUUUUGGCUGGCUCUGAUACUAGUCACCGUGUUGAGCAUAAGUUCGCUUGGUGCAGUGGAAACAGAAGCACCAACGCAAAAGCCAACCGAACAGCCACCGAAACAUCGACAAUUCUGGCCUGAGUUUUAUCUACCCCCUGGAAAAUAAUGUUCAACUCAAAUAAAGAUUAGGACAACCGCCUUCCUGACGAUCUUGUUGUAUUACAAUCAUAAGAAAAAAACAGGUGUGGUUCUUGCUGAUUACAUGUGUUCUUUGUCCUUUGCUGGUCUUUUCGAGGUAAAGAUGACGCGCAUAAGUGAGAAUGGAUUAGCUAUGAAAAGUGCUAGAGAUGUAGUAUUAGUUAGGCUAGAAAUCCAAAGAAGUUAUUUUUUAAUUCUGAUCAAAAACUGAUCUACGACAUGCCUCUAAGAUGAACCGAUUUUUUCUAUAAGUAAUUGUAAUCCAGGGAAGAAUUACUUACAGUAAGUAAUUCUCGUGGGAUUUUGAACUAAGGUUUCGAAAGAUAAAAAUGUAAUCCCUCUAGAACCUGAUGAUUUGUGAGUAAAUAAAUGAUAGUAGUUCGAGAGGGAAUUAUAUUUUAAUUCUAAAAAAUCGGUCGCAUGCUGUUAAUACCUAAAAGAUUAAGAUCUGGUCCAAUUCAAUUUCGUCCAGUCCAAUAAUAUUCACAGGGCUUAUAUUUGUCAAACGUUUCACAAACAUUGUCAAAGUUUCACAAAAUUUCGCCUAUUUCCCGAUUUGGUAUACUAAAAUGUGACGUAAUUAUAGUGUGGU